Molecule: ribosomal RNA, 457 nt
Filed under: Neisseria mucosa
Lineage: Bacteria; Pseudomonadati; Pseudomonadota; Betaproteobacteria; Neisseriales; Neisseriaceae
Description: bacterial SSU rRNA
Rfam family: Bacterial small subunit ribosomal RNA
Source: RNAcentral
AUUGAACGCUGGCGGCAUGCUUUACACAUGCAAGUCGGACGGCAGCACAGAGAAGCUUGCUUCUUGGGUGGCGAGUGGCGAACGGGUGAGUAAUAUAUCGGAACGUACCGAGCAGUGGGGGAUAACUAAUCGAAAGAUUAGCUAAUACCGCAUAUAUUCUGAGGAAGAAAGCAGGGGACCAUUUGGCCUUGCGCUGUCUGAGCGGCCGAUAUCUGAUUAGCUAGUUGGUGGGGUAAAGGCCUACCAAGGCGACGAUCAGUAGCGGGUCUGAGAGGAUGAUCCGCCACACUGGGACUGAGACACGGCCCAGACUCCUACGGGAGGCAGCAGUGGGGAAUUUUGGACAAUGGGCGCAAGCCUGAUCCAGCCAUGCCGCGUGUCUGAAGAAGGCUUUCGGGUUGUAAAGGACUUUUGUCAGGGAAGAAAAGGGCGGGGUUAAUACCCCUGUCUGAUGACG